RNAcentral lists this unclassified non-coding RNA (625 nucleotides) under Trichophyton interdigitale. Its description in RNAcentral is "sequence contains 18S rRNA gene, ITS1, 5.8S rRNA gene, ITS2, 28S rRNA gene". The stretch from base 272 to 425 matches the Rfam family "5.8S ribosomal RNA". Lineage: Eukaryota; Fungi; Ascomycota; Eurotiomycetes; Onygenales; Arthrodermataceae. The record is from RNAcentral.
GCGGAAGGAUCAUUAGCGCGCAGGCCGGAGGCUGGCCCCCCACGAUAGGGCCAAACGUCCGUCAGGGGUGAGCAGAUGUGCGCCGGCCGUACCGCCCCAUUCUUGUCUACAUUACUCGGUUGCCUCGGCGGGCCGCGCUCUCCCAGGAGAGCCGUUCGGCGAGCCUCUCUUUAGUGGCUAAACGCUGGACCGCGCCCGCCGGAGGACAGACGCAAAAAAAUUCUUUCAGAAGAGCUGUCAGUCUGAGCGUUAGCAAGCAAAAAUCAGUUAAAACUUUCAACAACGGAUCUCUUGGUUCCGGCAUCGAUGAAGAACGCAGCGAAAUGCGAUAAGUAAUGUGAAUUGCAGAAUUCCGUGAAUCAUCGAAUCUUUGAACGCACAUUGCGCCCCCUGGCAUUCCGGGGGGCAUGCCUGUUCGAGCGUCAUUUCAGCCCCUCAAGCCCGGCUUGUGUGAUGGACGACCGUCCGGCGCCCCCGUCUUUGGGGGUGCGGGACGCGCCCGAAAAGCAGUGGCCAGGCCGCGAUUCCGGCUUCCUAGGCGAAUGGGCAACAAACCAGCGCCUCCAGGACCGGCCGCCCUGGCCUCAAAAUCUGUUUUAUACUUAUCAGGUUGACCUCGGAUCAG